GAGCUCGUAGGUCGNUCGGUCACGUNUGCAGCGGAAACGCAACGCUNAACGUCGCGCGUGCAGUGAGUACGGUCUGACUAGAGUGCUGUAGGGGAGUCUGGAAUUCNUGGUGUACCGGUGAAAUGCGCAGAUAUCAGGAGGAACACCGCUGGCGAAGGCGGGACUCCGGGCUGUAUCUGACACUGAGGAGCGAAAGCAUGGGGAGCGAACAGGAUUAGAUACCCUGGUAGUCCAUGCCGUAAACGUUGGGCACUAGGUGUGGGGGACAUUCCACGUUCUCCGCGCCGUAGCUAACNCAUUAAGUGCCCCGCCUGGGGAGUACGGUCGCAAGGCUAAAACUCAAAGGAAUUGACGGGGGCCCGCACAAGCGGCGGAGCAUGCGGAUUAAUUCGAUGCAACGCGAAGAACCUUACCAAGGCUUGACAUACACCAGACCGUUCUGGAAACAGUUCCUCCCCUUUGGGGUUGGUGUACAGGUGGUGCAUGGUUGUCGUCAGCUCGUGUCGUGAGAUGUUGGGUUAAGUCCCGCAACGAGCGCAACCCUCGUUCUAUGUUGCCAGCACGUGAUGGUGGGAACUCAUAGGAGACUGCCGGGGUCAACUCGGAGGAAGGUGGGGAUGACGUCAAAUCAUCAUGCCCUUUAUGUCUUGGGCUUCACGCAUGCUACAAUGGCUGGUACAGAGAGAUGCGAGACCGCGAGGUUUUAGCGAAUCCCUUAAAGCCAGUCUCAGUUCGGAUCGUAGUCUGCAAUUCGACUACGUGAAGUCGGAGUCGCUAGUAAUCGCAGAU
RNAcentral lists this ribosomal RNA (789 nucleotides) under uncultured bacterium. RNAcentral describes it as "bacterial SSU rRNA". It matches the Rfam family "Bacterial small subunit ribosomal RNA", at positions 565 to 1349 of the family's 1533-position model. The record is from RNAcentral.